CUGGCUCAGGAUGAACGCUAGCGACAGGCUAACACAUGCAAGUCGAGGGGCAGCGCGGGAGUAGCAAUACGUUGGUGGCGACCGGCGCACGGGUGAGUAACGCGUAUGCAACCUACCUAUCAGAGGGGAAUAACCCGGCGAAAGUCGGACUAAUACCGCAUAAAACAGGGGCACCGCAUGGUGAUAUUUGUUAAAGAAAUUCGCUGAUAGAUGGGCAUGCGUUCCAUUAGGUAGUUGGGUGAGGUAACGGCUCACCAAGCCGACGAUGGAUAGGGGAACUGAGAGGUUGGUCCCCCACACUGGUACUGAGACACGGACCAGACUCCUACGGGAGGCAGCAGUGAGGAAUAUUGGUCAAUGGGCGGGAGCCUGAACCAGCCAAGUCGCGUGAAAGGAAGAAGGAUCUAUGGUUCGUAAACUUCUUUUGCAGGGGAAUAAAGUGCAGGACGUGUCCUGUUUUGUAUGUACCCUGAGAAUAAGGAUCGGCUAACUCCGUGCCAGCCGCAGC
RNAcentral lists this ribosomal RNA (508 nucleotides) under uncultured bacterium. RNAcentral describes it as "bacterial SSU rRNA". It matches the Rfam family "Bacterial small subunit ribosomal RNA", at positions 19 to 518 of the family's 1533-position model. The record is from RNAcentral.